Molecule: long non-coding RNA, 623 nt
Organism: Sorghum bicolor (sorghum)
Lineage: Eukaryota; Viridiplantae; Streptophyta; Magnoliopsida; Poales; Poaceae
Exons: 3
Source: RefSeq, a predicted model, not a curated record
GGUGCUGCUCACUUCGUCGUCUUCUUUUUCUCGUUGCCGUCGCUUCCUCUUCUCGGCUUUUCCAGAGCCUUCUCUUCCUCUCGUGAAUCACGGAUGCCGUGGCUCCCUCUCCCGUCUCAGCUCUUUCCUUCCUCUCUCUCCCUCUCUCCCUCUAUGGAUGCGGCAGGCACGAGCCAGGCCAGGGCGCGGGCGGACCCAGCGCGAGCAGCGGCCCAGCGUGGUUGGUGCUCCGGCACGGCCGGCGCGACCCGGCGUCGCCUCUCUCUCGCUCUCCUGGUGUCGCGCGGCGAUGCGCCGGCUGUGGCCGCAGCUGCCGCCCUCUCCGUCUCUCCCGACUCCGAUGUGGCCGUCGGUGUGGGUGCCCCCAACGUCCAUCUCGAUCUGAGAUCAGUGGUGGUGGCUGUCCAGCUUCACAAGGGAGUCGGAUUCCUGUUCUAGGGUUUUGGUUCCAAUACUUGCCUUCUGCUCCAUUGUAUGUCUUCUCUGUGUCAAUCUCUAAGAAAUAUGCUUCAAGCGAGUUGUGGCUGUGCAACCACCGGUAAGGCUGGAGACCAAUGCCCCCUGGUGGAUCUUUGUUUGUCAAGACGGAAUAUGAGGUCAUGGUCUCAUGGAUCAGAAAUAUU